RNAcentral lists this unclassified non-coding RNA (279 nucleotides) under Hevea brasiliensis (rubber tree). Lineage: Eukaryota; Viridiplantae; Streptophyta; Magnoliopsida; Malpighiales; Euphorbiaceae. The record is from RNAcentral.
AAAGCGAUUCCUCACCCACCCUGGUAAGAUAAUCUUAGAUCUUUCUAGUCAUAAGGGUUUUCUCUAUGUUCUUGUCAAUGUAAAACAUGUAGACCACCAUUGAAACACCUUUGGUUUCAGCAGCAUAGGCACUUCAACGCCACUUCAUGUCAUUAGUACAAUUGGUUACAUACUGUAACAUUAUAAAAUUGUUAAUUUAAUGGUCUGUUUCUUCUUGAAUGAUACCAUGUAAUAAUUCUUAAGAAUAUUUUGUUAAUUGAAUCUUCAUUUACAUAUAUU